RNAcentral lists this ribosomal RNA (357 nucleotides) under Escherichia coli. RNAcentral's name for it is "bacterial SSU rRNA". It matches the Rfam family "Bacterial small subunit ribosomal RNA", at positions 92 to 455 of the family's 1533-position model. Lineage: Bacteria; Pseudomonadati; Pseudomonadota; Gammaproteobacteria; Enterobacterales; Enterobacteriaceae. The record is from RNAcentral.
GGAAGGUCGGAGGCUGAGUAUGUCUGGGAACUGCCUGAUGGAGGGGGAUAACUACUGGAAACGGUAGCUAAUACCGCAUAACGUCGCAAGACCAAAGAGGGGGACCUUCGGGCCUCUUGCCAUCGGAUGUGCCCAGAUGGGAUUAGCUAGUAGGUGGGGUAACGGCUCACCUAGGCGACGAUCCCUAGCUGGUCUGAGAGGAUGACCAGCCACACUGGAACUGAGACACGGUCCAGACUCCUACGGGAGGCAGCAGUGGGGAAUAUUGCACAAUGGGCGCAAGCCUGAUGCAGCCAUGCCGCGUGUAUGAAGAAGGCCUUCGGGUUGUAAAGUACUUUCAGCGGGGAGGAAGGGAGU